UAAGCUAGAAUUGUCUCCCAGAUGGACAC
Molecule: small RNA, 29 nt
Filed under: Bombyx mori (domestic silkworm)
Lineage: Eukaryota; Metazoa; Arthropoda; Insecta; Lepidoptera; Bombycidae
Description: ovarian small RNA-5765
Source: RNAcentral